CCUACGGGGGUCAGCAGUGAGGAAUAUUGGUCAAUGGGCGUAAGCCUGAACCAGCCAAGUCGCGUGAGGGAUGAAGGUUCUAUGGAUCGUAAACCUCUUUUAUAAGGGAAUAAAGUGUGGGACGUGUCCUAUUUUGUAUGUACCUUAUGAAUAAGGAUCGGCUAACUCCGUGCCAGCAGCCGCGGUAAUACGGAGGAUCCGAGCGUUAUCCGGAUUUAUUGGGUUUAAAGGGUGCGUAGGCGGCCGUUUAAGUCAGCGGUGAAAGUCUGUGGCUCAACCAUCUAAUUGCCGUUGAAACUGGGGGGCUUGAGUAUGUGUGAGGCAGGCGGAAUGCGUGGUGUAGCGGUGAAAUGCUUGGAUAUCACGCAGAACCCCGAUUGCGAAGGCAGCCUGCCAAGCCAUGACUGACGCUGAUGCACGAAAGCGUGGGGAUCAAACAGGAUUAGAUACCCUUGUAGUC
RNAcentral lists this ribosomal RNA (460 nucleotides) under uncultured bacterium. RNAcentral describes it as "partial 16S ribosomal RNA". It matches the Rfam family "Bacterial small subunit ribosomal RNA", at positions 338 to 795 of the family's 1533-position model. The record is from RNAcentral.